This 1056-nucleotide ribosomal RNA is filed under the name uncultured Bacteroidales bacterium. RNAcentral describes it as "bacterial SSU rRNA". It matches the Rfam family "Bacterial small subunit ribosomal RNA", at positions 32 to 1087 of the family's 1533-position model. The record is from RNAcentral. Lineage: Bacteria; Pseudomonadati; Bacteroidota; Bacteroidia; Bacteroidales.
AACGCUAGCUACAGGCUUAACACAUGCAAGUCGAGGGGCAGCGCAGUGUAGCAAUACAUGGGCGGCGACCGGCGCACGGGUGCGUAACGCGUAUCCAACCUUCCCGUUACUCAGGGAUAGCCUUCCGAAAGGGAGAUUAAUACCUGAUGGUGUUCAAAUUCCGCAUGUUAUUUGAACUAAAGAUUUAUCGGUAACGGAUGGGGAUGCGUGACAUUAGGUAGAUGGCGGGGUAACGGCCCACCAUGCCUACGAUGUCUAGGGGUUCUGAGAGGAAGGUCCCCCACACUGGAACUGAGACACGGUCCAGACUCCUACGGGAGGCAGCAGUGAGGAAUAUUGGUCAAUGGUCGGAAGACUGAACCAGCCAAGUAGCGUGAAGGAUGAAGGUUCUAUGGAUUGUAAACUUCUUUUAUACGGGAAUAAAACCUCCCACGUGUGGGAGCUUGUAUGUACCGUAUGAAUAAGCAUCGGCUAACUCCGUGCCAGCAGCCGCGGUAAUACGGAGGAUGCGAGCGUUAUCCGGAUUUAUUGGGUUUAAAGGGAGCGUAGACGGGAGAUUAAGUCAGUUGUGAAAGGCUGCGGCUCAACCGCAGCACUGCAGUUGAUACUGGUUUCCUUGAGUGCGGUUGAGGUGUAUGGAAUUCGUGGUGUAGCGGUGAAAUGCUUAGAUAUCACGAAGAACUCCGAUUGCGAAGGCAGUACACUAAGCCGUAACUGACGUUGAGGCUCGAAAGUGUGGGUAUCAAACAGGAUUAGAUACCCUGGUAGUCCACACGGUAAACGAUGAAUACUCGCUGUUGGCGAUACAAUGUCAGCGGCCAAGCGAAAGCAUUAAGUAUUCCACCUGGGGAGUACGCCGGCAACGGUGAAACUCAAAGGAAUUGACGGGGGCCCGCACAAGCGGAGGAACAUGUGGUUUAAUUCGAUGAUACGCGAGGAACCUUACCCGGGCUUAAAUUGCAGAGGACAGGCUCAGAGAUGGGCUCUUNUUCGGACCUCUGUGAAGGUGCUGCAUGGUUGUCGUCAGCUCGUGCCGUGAGGUGUCGGCUUAAGUGC